AGUAACGCGUGGGUAACCUGCCUCACACAGGGGGAUAACAGUUAGAAAUGACUGCUAAUACCGCAUAACCCGAUAGGAUCGCAUGAUCCAGACGGAAAAGAUUUAUCGGUGUGAGAUGGACCCGCGUCUGAUUAGCUAGUUGGUGAGGUAACGGCCCACCAAGGCGACGAUCAGUAGCCGGCCUGAGAGGGUGAACGGCCACAUUGGGACUGAGACACGGCCCAG
This 225-nucleotide ribosomal RNA is filed under the name uncultured bacterium. RNAcentral's name for it is "partial 16S ribosomal RNA". It matches the Rfam family "Bacterial small subunit ribosomal RNA", at positions 109 to 334 of the family's 1533-position model. The record is from RNAcentral.